AAAAUAAAAAAUUAGCCAGGCGUGGUGGUGCAAGCGUGUAAUCCCAGCUACUCGGGAGGCUGAGGCAGAACAAUCGCUUGAACCUGGGAGGCGGAAGUUGUGGUGAGCUGAGAUUGUGCCACUGCCCUCCAGCCUGGGCAACAAGAGCGAAACUCCGUCUCAAAAAAAAAAAUUUACUUGGUCCUUCUAGCCCUUUUAAUCUAAAAGUGGAACUCUCAUGUGUUCCAUUAUUUUUGUGUAUGUUCAAUACAUAUAUGUUCCAUUCAUCCUAUUUUUAACAUGCCUCACAGUGUAAUUAUUUAUUAUUUAUACUUAAUACAUCUUACAAAUUUCAUUAUGUCUAACAAGCCAUUUGCUCCCAUACUUAGUUUCUCUCAAUUUCUGUGGCAGAAUUGAAUAUUCUUAAAUGACACAGCAAAAACAUCACAGUACUCAGAAUAGUGUAGGCAGUGUGAGUUUCCCCCAGGAUGUUCAAAGUUAUUGGAAGAGCAAAUGGAAAAAAAUAACACGCGUAACUGAAAGAUCUCAAGGAGUAAGAGGAUUCUGCAUCUUCAUAUGGACUUUAUGGCAUAUUGUAUUUUCCAAAAAUGGCCACAACAAUAUUUCUGGUACCAUAUGCUGUUCCAGAACUUGGAUACACCUCCCCUUAAAAGGUGGUGUCUAAUGCACUUCCCUUUGCAUAUAGGCCAUCAAUAUUAACUUUUGUUUGUUUGUUUGUUUGUUUGUUUGUUUGAGACAGAGUCUCGCUCGGGCACCAGGCUGGAGUGCAGUGGCACGGUCUCGGCUUACUACAACCUCCGCCUUCCGGAUUCAAGUGAUUCUGCUGCCUCAGCCUCCCGAAUAGCUGGGAUUACAGUGUUUCAGAAUCACCUGGGAUGAUCUGCAUGAAGAUUCCUGGCCUCCACCAAAGACUUACUGAAUCAGAAAGGAGGCAAGAGGAUGAGGAAUGCUUAAGAAUCUGCAUUAACAAACUUUACAAAUGAAUCUUACAACAUACAGAAGCAUGGAAACUACUGCCUCAAGGGAUUAUCUCAACUUGAGUUUAAACAUAGGAAUUGCUGACUACCUUUAAAAUGUAAAAAUAGUAUCUUUAUGGGAGGGAUGUUGUUUGGGGGCAGCUACUAAAUAGUGAAAUCAUUCCUUUAAAAUACCCUCUCAAGUCUGCCCCAGUUAUCCAUUUUACUGGAUAGUCUUGGUAUCCAGAUGAUUUAGGGAAAAAAAUAGUAGUAGCAAACUCUGAAAACACUCAGUAAAGUUCAUUCUUGGUCUUCUCUUCCUAAAUUUGUUUUCAAUUGUUAGAUUUAAACACUAAACAAGACCAAAAGAGAACUUUAUUUUACAUGUCUUUAUUUUACAUUUAGAACCGUUUUAUGAUUUACUUAAAAAAAAAAUCUUUUACUAUUAUUAGAAGUAUUUUUUAACCAAAAUCUUGAUUUAGGAAGACUUAAGACAUUGUGCAUUAUUUUAAAUAUUUUCAUUUCAGUAACUAUUAAAAAUAAAUUCACAAUUAGGGUUUCAAAUGUCCUAAUCAUAUCUAGUUUGUUCUCAUUUAAUAUUUUAUCAAUCCCAUCAUGUGCAUACAGAGGUUAAGGUGAUGUAUAAAUUUUAUAUCUUUCAAACACAUUGAUGCUAAUCAGCUCUUGAUCUAAUUACUAUUUCAUUUAUUCAGAAAUAGCAUUUAGACAUAAAAACCAAUGUCUCACUUUGUAAAAUAACCUUUGGCUAAUUUACACACAUCUAAUACAGCGUGUUAUAUAAGUUUUAAGUAAUACAAUGAGUCACUACUAUCAUUCAGUUUUAAAUAUUUUUAGUGUUAACAGGGCUGAGAAUAUCAUGUGGUUCAGUCUUCUGAAGGAAGUUAUAUAAUAAAAGCAUAGUGCCUUUGAACAUGAAGACUAUCCUCAAGGCCAGAAAUCCUACAAAGGAACUGAAAGGAGAGAUUCCAGAGAAUUGCUCUCCUCAUUUUUAAUAUGUAAAGUGACUGUUUUAAGUCACUUCAUUGAAGACUUAAGGAAGAAAACAGUGUUAUUAUGCCACUGAAUAAAGCUACUUAAACCAGAGUAAUUUUGGGAUAUUAAUCCUAGGCUACAUAAUUAAUAGGUCAUCAAAACAAAAACCUGUCAGUUAUUAGGUGUAAGUUAACUUCCUAUGCCAAGUAAGGGGUCACACUUCACUUCCCCCAUUUGUAAAAUGAAAAGGUGGCCAGGCCAGUGCCAUUUAGGAUUCUCUGCUAACUGUAAAAUGUGGACUGAUUUUCUUCUGUUUCUUAUAGUCCAGGUGUAUAUAAACUUCCAGUUCUUUAAGUCAAAAUUUUUAUGCACAUAACCAUGUCAGUGUAUUGCCCUUAGUUUAAA
Long non-coding RNA from Homo sapiens (human), 2354 nucleotides. Ensembl annotates it as UBR5 divergent transcript. Its record names the gene UBR5-DT. The record is from Ensembl. NCBI's taxonomy places the organism in Eukaryota, Metazoa, Chordata, Mammalia, Primates, Hominidae.